RNAcentral lists this long non-coding RNA (1313 nucleotides) under Amphibalanus amphitrite. RNAcentral describes it as "uncharacterized LOC122379080". The record is from RNAcentral. Lineage: Eukaryota; Metazoa; Arthropoda; Thecostraca; Balanomorpha; Balanidae.
GGGGUCCGUCCCUUUACCGGGCCAUAGGAGGAAAAUUGCUACCAAAUGCUGCCAAUGUGACGUCACUGGGAUGGUCGAAAGCUGAUUGGUCGCUGAGAUUCAGGCGAUGCUGUCAAUUCUGGCGCACCGGCGCAGUGUUUUCCAGCCGUUGCGUGUAUUGUUAUACGGAGUUUGAAUAUUGUUUAUUUGAUAAUAAUAUCACUUUUUAUGUGUUUGAAGAUCGGAAAAGCAUAUACAUAAGUGGCAUUCACACACUUGUCGUCUCAGAGAUCACGAAGAAUGACCAGCUUCAGCAGUUCAGCUCAGGUCCGGGGCUGGUCCUCUGGCGUGCAGGACGGCGAGGAGUGGCUACCUGCACAUAACAACACAAUGACUGGCACCGAGCUGAGGGCAUAAAAUCACAUCAUAUCGACUUCAGCAUCUGUCUCCCAGCUUUGGAGACGUCGCCCGACUCCCUGAGUGGCGAGCGCCAGUUUCCGAAAGGAAUUUGAGGAAGGCGACCCGAAAGCACCCGCUGGGCUGCCGACACUCCUGCGCUGCCAGCAGGGCGUGCUGCGCAGUAAAGCCUCGCUGCGUGGUCUGUACGACAUCCGACACCGGCACCCAGACGUGCAGUUUCUGAUGACAUCCCACCUCAGCCAGGGCUGCCCCGAGAAUCUGCUAGUGCUGACUGCCUGCUGCUGAGGCCGACCUGCCGACGACCUGCCGGACCUGUCGCCGCCCUGGUGAGCCUGAGCCGCCCUGGGACUUGCCGCCUUGUCUACGCUGCCGCCCUGGUGAAACUGCCGUCGCCCUGCCGAACCUGUCGCCGCCCUGGUGAGCCUGCGGCCGCCCUGGACCUGCAGCCACCCCGGCGGACCUGCCGCCGCGUCUACGCUUCCGCCCUGGUGAAACUGCCGUCGCCCUGCCGGAUCUGUCGCCGCCCUGGUAAACCUGCUGCCGACCUGUCGCACCUGCCACCGCCCUGGUGAAUCUGCUGCCGACCUGCCUGACCUGUCGCUGCCGUGGUGAACCUGUUACCGACUUGCCGGACCUUUCUCGCCGCCUUGACGAGCUUGGGGAGCUUGUGCUGAGGUGCCACCGCUCUGUUUCACGUGUUAUGUUGCCCGGUUCCUGGCUGUCGCGGAGUCAAUCGGCACAUUGUGUUUGGAGAGGCGACAUCUUGUACAACUUUCCGACAGUUCGGAGCAUUUUAUUGUACCUACUCAAGUCGCAAGAGGCUUGUGCCUUAUUUGUCCUCUACCAAUCUGUCCAAUAUGGUUUUUUAUAACUACGAUUUAUGGUAUGACAUAAACCGGUAUAUUGUGUACGCA